This is a non-coding RNA of Malus domestica (apple), 1010 nucleotides long. The record is from RefSeq and is a predicted model, not a curated record. NCBI's taxonomy places the organism in Eukaryota, Viridiplantae, Streptophyta, Magnoliopsida, Rosales, Rosaceae.
AGAGAGUGAGAAAGAUUUAAUAUAUAUAUAUAUAUAUUUUUAAUUUUUGAAUAUUUUAUUAUUCAAAAAAUAUAUUUUUUAUUUUUUAAUCCAAUUGGAUUAGUGAGUGGGACACGUGUCGAACCACAUCAGUAUUUAACAGAGAAAUUAACAGAAAAACUGACAGAGGUCUAACAUUGACACAAAUUCGUAAGAUGAGGUAUGACAUUGUCAAUUUUAAAAGAUGAGGUAUGAAAGUGUCGUGACACUAAUAGUUGAGGUAGUUUUUUGUACUUUACCCUAAAUAGUUUUACAGGUCUACAACUAGGGUUUUUUGUUUUGAUUCCAUUCAAUACUAAAUUGCUGGAAAUUUUGUUGCAGUCUCACUACCUACCAUUCUCCUAACCAAAAUAUAUUUUUCCCUUAUAGGAGAAGUUGGCUACUUGGGUUAAACCCUUUCAUGUCAUGAUUUUGUUGGUUGAGUUGGGACCAGACCUUUGUCACAAAUAUGGUCUGGUUGCAAUUGGAUCGCAACCAACUAAUAACCAAAACUAACCACCAGCAGGGGGAGCUGGCAGAGGUAAUGGGUUCAGCUAGCUAGCCCAUGUCUUCCUAUUCACCAAACUCACACCACUUAUCUCCUUUUGUGACAUGCAUGUUGCGUACGUAAACAACUCUGGAAUUCAGGCUCCAGGCCCUACCCCAGAGGUUGGAUUAGGACCUACAUCAGGGUGACAUAUCAAGAUAGACGGAAGGUGUUACCUGCUAGUUUGUUGCUCAAUUAACAACUUGGGACAUGCUUAAUAUUGAUAUAAAGAUAUACUUGAUUAGUAGCACUUUAGAAAAACUAACUGAAAUGCUAGAAAUAGAGAAGAGUGUUUUGUAACAUCCAAUAGUGUUGUUCAUUGCCACCAAAGAGCGUCAAUCGCUUAUUACAUGCGCGCGUGAACGACUGUAAACCGUUGAUUGAUGUGAAUCUCAUGAUAAGUCUCAUUCCAAACAAUGUCUAAGAAUCGUCUAAGUGCGUGUCA